Molecule: ribosomal RNA, 412 nt
Filed under: uncultured bacterium
Lineage: Bacteria
Description: bacterial SSU rRNA
Rfam family: Bacterial small subunit ribosomal RNA
Source: RNAcentral
AUUGAACGCUGGCGGCAUGCCUUACACAUGCAAGUCGAACGGUAACGCGGGGCAACCUGGCGACGAGUGGCGAACGGGUGAGUAAUGCAUCAGAACGUGCCCAGUAGUGGGGGAUAGCCCGGCGAAAGCCGGAUUAAUACCGCAUACGACCUACGGGUGAAAGCGGGGGACUCGCAAGAGCCUCGCGCUAUUGGAGCGGCCGAUGUCAGAUUAGGUAGUUGGUGGGGGUAAAAGCCUACCAAGCCGACGAUCUGUAGCUGGUCUGAGAGGACGACCAGCCACACUGGGACUGAGACACGGCCCAGACUCCUACGGGAGGCAGCAGUGGGGAAUUUUGGACAAUGGGCGCAAGCCUGAUCCAGCCAUGCCGCGUGCGGGAAGAAGGGCCCUUGGGUUGUAAACCGCUUUGUCA